CAUGCAGUCGACGGUGAAGAGGAGCUUGCUCCUUGGAUCAGUGGCGAACGGGUGAGUAACACGUGAGCAAUCUGCCCUUGACUCUGGGAUAACUGCGGGAAACUGUAGCUAAUACCGGAUAUUACCUUGGAAGGCAUCUUCUGGGGUGGAAAGAAUUUUGGUCAAGGAUGAGCUCGCGGCCUAUCAGCUAGUUGGUGAGGUAAUGGCUYACCAAGGCGACGACGGGUAGCCGGCCUGAGAGGGUGACCGGCCACACUGGGACUGAGACACGGCCCAGACUCCUACGGGAGGCAGCAGUGGGGAAUAUUGCACAAUGGGCGCAAGCCUGAUGCAGCAACGCCGCGUGAGGGACGACGGCCUUCGGGUUGUAAACCUCUUUUAGUAGGGAAGAAGCGACUGGGUUUUCCUGGGAGUGACGGUACCUGCAGAAAAAGCACCGGCUAACUACGUGCCAGCAGCCGCGGUAAUACGUAGGGUGCAAGCGUUGUCCGGAAUUAUUGGGCGUAAAGAGCUCGUAGGCGGUUUGUCGCGUCUGCUGUGAAAACCCGAGGCUCAACCUCGGGCCUGCAGUGGGUACGGGCAGACUAGAGUGCGGUAGGGGAGAUUGGAAUUCCUGGUGUAGCGGUGGAAUGCGCAGAUAUCAGGAGGAACACCAAUGGCGAAGGCAGAUCUCUGGGCCGUAACUGACGCUGAGGAGCGAAAGCAUGGGGAGCGAACAGGAUUAGAUACCCUGGUAGUCCAUGCCGUAAACGUUGGGAACUAGAUGUGGGGACCAUUCCACGGUCUCCGUGUCGCAGCUAACGCAUUAAGUUCCCCGCCUGGGGAGUACGGCCGCAAGGCUAAAACUCAAAGGAAUUGACGGGGGCCCGCACAAGCGGCGGAGCAUGC
This 888-nucleotide ribosomal RNA is filed under the name Cryobacterium sp. RNAcentral's name for it is "bacterial SSU rRNA". It matches the Rfam family "Bacterial small subunit ribosomal RNA", at positions 54 to 942 of the family's 1533-position model. Lineage: Bacteria; Bacillati; Actinomycetota; Actinomycetes; Micrococcales; Microbacteriaceae. The record is from RNAcentral.